AUCUGCAAUCGAAGAAUUAUGUUUUCUCAAAUGCACUUUCAAGCCCUGUUCGACGAAGCCUGCAGAACUAUCAAAUUGCUCAAGGAGGUUUCCUUUUAAACAACGUUCAGCCUUCAAAUGGAGCAAGAAACAACGAAACGAAUGUCCAGCAGCAAAAUAGGGAGUCCAAUAGCAGUAACUCUGCUGAUGCGUCCAUGGAUAUGCAUUCUGAUAGCCCAGGUCAUGAUUUUACUUACGAUGAAACGAAUGUUCAGCAGCAAAAUAGGGAGUCCAAUAGCAGUACCUCUGCUGAUGCGUCGAUGGAUAUGCAUUCUGAUAGCCCAGGUCAUGAUUUUACUUACUGAAGUAGUCUGUAAAUAAAAUGUUUCAGGAGCUGCUUCUUGUCAUGCCGUGGUGUUCUAGCAGCAAGUUCAUGUUGAUUGAUUAUCGUGUGUUGAGCAGUUAUCAAGGAGUAAAAUGCAUUGUUGAACUGGCUGUUUGAUGCAGAGAUUGAAAGGUGCGUUCAUGCUCGUAUAUUGUCGUAAUGUAGAGAUGCACAUGUGGUCUCAAGUAAAACGCAAUGUGAUGGGCACCAUUAGUUCUCGAAUGCAAUGUUGUUCUGCUGAACUAGUUAGUUCUUUUCGGUCUUCAUUGAUAUUAUGAAGUGUUUCUUUAGUAGUACAAAUAUAUAUGAUUGUGCUCACUUGUUGCAUUCUUCGAUUGCAUAUGUUUUUUCAGUCGGCAUACUGGCAUCUUUUGCCAAGUCCAUGUUUUUAGUGAUUCUCCAAGUUGUCAGAAUGUGAAUAAAAUGAACUUCGUCAGUACAAAAGGGAAAAUUGAGCAUUAGAGACCACUUUGCCCCAUAUACCAGUGUUUCAGCCCAGAUCCUUUCCAGGAAAAUUGAGCA
Molecule: long non-coding RNA, 886 nt
Filed under: Nicotiana benthamiana
Lineage: Eukaryota; Viridiplantae; Streptophyta; Magnoliopsida; Solanales; Solanaceae
Description: long non-coding RNA (NBEN_LNC012927)
Source: RNAcentral